This is a long non-coding RNA of Mesocricetus auratus (golden hamster), 2556 nucleotides long. RefSeq lists it as uncharacterized. NCBI's taxonomy places the organism in Eukaryota, Metazoa, Chordata, Mammalia, Rodentia, Cricetidae. The transcript is spliced from 6 exons. The record is from RefSeq and is a predicted model, not a curated record.
GGCCAGUACCUAGUCACACAGCUAGAAGGAAAUAAGAAGGAAAGAAAAGAUAUACCAGAAAUAGAGAGUGGUAAAAGCAUAAGGCAAAAGGUAGACAGGAUAAUUUAAGAUAAGAGAAGCUGGCUAGAAAUAAGCCAAACUAAGGCCAGGCAUUCAUAAGAAACAAAAGUCUCCAUGUGCAUUUAUUUGAGAGCCUGAGUGUCAGGCUCCCAAAAAGUAAAGAGUAAAAAACAACCAACAAGGUUGUAAAACAAUUUUCAUCAGCAGAAGAGAAUAAGAGCCAGAGUCUUUCUUAUUAAAUUUGAUUAACUAAUCCCACUUACCAGCACAGGAACCUAAACUCCAGAAGCUAGCGACUGGCAAAUGGCCCUAGAAUACCUGGCCAAUCCUUUGGAGUCUGGUGAACAUAACAGUGUUCACACAAUUGAAGACAAGUUUUUGUGAGUCCUGCGGUAGAGUCCUUGGAUUCCUGUCAGUCAUCCGUGGGCAGAGCACACCAGCCUUUCCCUCAUUCUUCCAGUUACAAGACUCAGAGGUCACAAGUUCCGUUUCCCUGAGGCAGCUUAGCUGUCCUUUUCAUUCCAUUCUAUGUUGCUACAGGAGAAACAUCUCCUGUUUCAGAUACCCUGCUUCUUAACGAAACUGUGUGCUGAUGCCUGUGUAGAGUAGUGUACCGUUCUGUGGAGAGAACAAACCCAGAGUGCCUUCACCUGGUAGCAACUGGGUUCCUGAACUAUGGCAGCAGUGAACAUCUUUAUGGCGUUUUAAAGACCCGGCAUGCUUUGAAUUGGAAUGCAGCAUGCGAUGUGAAGACCUUAGAGAUUGAAUGAUGGACAAGGACGACAAGACAAGGACAUUGGGAGCCUGACCAAGACAUUCAGAUUUAACUUGCAGAUGGCAGUGAUCAAGACAAUGUUGUGCAAAAAUCUCAGACACCAGCAGAAAACACAGUCUUUUAAAAAUUAGUGUCAGCAUUGUUCCUGAUUGGUAGAUUGUAAUUAUUUACAUUUAUGGGAUACAAUGUGAUGUUUUGACACAUUUACGCAACAUAGAAUGCCUAAAUCAAACUGAGCAUCAUAUCCAUCAUUGUGCUUACCUGUUAUAAUUUUUAUAGGAAGACAUUUGGAGUUGUCUCAUGUUUAUAUUGAAAUCUGUAAUAUAUCGUAAUUAUAGUAUGCACAUAUAUAAUGUAUCUCAAAGCCUGGUCUCUUAUCUGAAACUCUGUCCCCUUUGAUGGACCCUUCCCUGAUUUUUAGCCCCAAUUUCUUGCCUUUUCCUCUUUAUGGACUCUGGUAAGUAUCAUUCCAUUUUCUACUCCUAUGAACUUAACUUUGAUUUCAUAUAACAGUGAGAUCAUAGGUGAUUGGACUUUCUGUUUCUGGAUAAUUAUAUUUACCAUAAUGGCCAUGUCCCAAUUUAUCUGUGUUGUCACAAGUCUCAUAAUUUCCCUGUUUUUAUGGCUAAUCAGUAUAUCCUACUAUGUAUACAUGUUGCAUUUUCUAUAGCAGUUUACACACAGAUGUACAUGUUAUUUAAUUUCACAUGCUGCCUGUUGUAAAUAGCCCUGAAGUGAACAUGGGUGCAUGCACUCCUUCAACACAUUGGUUUCAGCUCCUUCGGAUAUAUAUCUAGUAAUGUGAUUACUACAUUAUGUAGAAAUUCUGUUUUGGGUUUUUAGGAGCCUCUCCUCAUCAUUUUCCAGAAUGUCUAUAUUGAUUUAUGUUUUCAGAAACUGUAUAGGAGAAUUUCCAUUCCCCCAGUCCCCUGAAUAAUUGCUAUGGUUUUUCUUCUUGAUAAAGACUUUCUAAUAGAUGCAGGAUUAUAUCACUUCAUGCUUUUACUUGUAUUAUUCUAAUGACUAGUGAUGCUGAGACUUUUUUCAUGGUCUAUUUGUCAUUUAUACUUCUUUUAUGGAGAAAUACAAGUUCAUUUCCUUGGCUCAUGGGUAAGUCGGAUUUUUUCCUUGCUAUUGAGUUGAUUUCCCUAUAUAUUUAAGAUAUGAUCACCUUAUCAGCCAUACAUUUGUAGCUAUUUCCGCUGUGGGGUUGUGUGUUCACUUUAAUCAUUCAUUAUGCUUUGAAGAGCAUUUGGUUUGAUGUGAACUCAUUUAAUUAUUUUUGCUUCUGUCUCCCAUGAUUACAGGGUCAUAUCUAAGAAUUGUCUAAACCUGUUGUGAGCAGAGUACUUGAGAGGCAGAGGCAGGUGGGAUCUCUUAGUUUGGGGCCAGCCUGGUCUGUAUAGUGAGUUCUAGUCCAUCUAAGGUUGCAUAAUGAAACUCUGUCUCAAAAACAAAACAAAGCAUAACACAACAACAAAAACAGCCAAUGCUUCAGUGCUUUUUGCUUCUUUCUUAAUAAUUUACAGUUGAGGUCUCAUAUGUAAGUCUUUAUCCCAGUUUUGGUUGAUUUUUGCAUGUAUUACUAGAUUAGACUUUAGUUCUAUCCAUGAACACAACCAGUUUCAUAGUUCUCUGUAUUUAGGACACCAUCAUUUUGCAUUUGUGUAUUAUUAGUUCUUUGGUUAAAGGUCAACUAUUGGUAAUUUCUUUUUUAAUUU